GGCUUACACAUGCAAGUCGAGCGGUAACAUUUCUAGCUUGCUAGAAGAUGACGAGCGGCGGACGGGUGAGUAACGCGUAGGAAUCUGCCUAGUAGUGGGGGACAACAUGUGGAAACGCAUGCUAAUACCGCAUACGCCCUACGGGGGAAAGGAGGGGAUCUUCGGACCUUUCGCUAUUAGAUGAGCCUGCGUGAGAUUAGCUAGUUGGUGGGGUAAAGGCCUACCAAGGCGACGAUCUCUAGCUGGUCUGAGAGGAUGAUCAGCCACACUGGGACUGAGACACGGCCCAGACUCCUACGGGAGGCAGCAGUGGGGAAUAUUGGACAAUGGGCGCAAGCCUGAUCCAGCCAUGCCGCGUGUGUGAAGAAGGCCUUAGGGUUGUAAAGCACUUUCAGGAGUGAGGAAGGAUGUACGGUUAAUACCCGUAUAUUUUGACGUUAACUCCAGAAGAAGCACCGGCUAACUCUGUGCCAGCAGCCGCGGUAAUACAGAGGGUGCGAGCGUUAAUCGGAAUUACUGGGCGUAAAGCGCGCGUACGCGGUUUGUUAAGUCGGAUGUGAAAUC
Molecule: ribosomal RNA, 564 nt
Filed under: uncultured bacterium
Lineage: Bacteria
Description: bacterial SSU rRNA
Rfam family: Bacterial small subunit ribosomal RNA
Source: RNAcentral